RNAcentral lists this unclassified non-coding RNA (238 nucleotides) under Hevea brasiliensis (rubber tree). The record is from RNAcentral. Lineage: Eukaryota; Viridiplantae; Streptophyta; Magnoliopsida; Malpighiales; Euphorbiaceae.
AGAGAGUGAAUUAAAAACCCCCACAACUACUUGUGAUCAUGUGGUAUUGCUGAGAAAGAAAGACCAGCAGAUUGAAAAGCUAGAGAAAGAAGUGAGGGAACUAACUAAGCAACGUGAUCUUGCUCAAUCGCGGGUUAAGGAUUUGCUGCUGACGCUUAAAAGUGAUAAAACCUCCAGCCAAAAGGACAUAUCAAGGCUACAUUCAGAAGGGAACACAUAUGAAGAUGAAUGUUCUGUG